Molecule: long non-coding RNA, 1317 nt
Organism: Drosophila miranda
Lineage: Eukaryota; Metazoa; Arthropoda; Insecta; Diptera; Drosophilidae
Exons: 2
Source: RefSeq, a predicted model, not a curated record
GCACAGCGAUGAUGAAUGGUGCAGUAACACAGGCUUAUAUAUAAGUGUGGAUGUAUAAUUUGCUAUAUGAUCUUAUGUACACAUAGUAACUCUUUACAAUUUGUAUUAUUCCUAUUAGAUCCGUUGUCCAUUCCGUUUUGCAGAGUGAAUUAUUCCUUGCAUGAACCAUAUAGCAUCUAACGCACGGAUUAUAGUUCUAUCUACCAUAUUACCAUAACUACUACUAAAUCCCCUCCUCCUCCUCUUUUAGUAUUAGUAGUAUCUGCGUUUUGAAUGCAUGUUUUCCUAUUCCUAUUUUCCUCAAAUGUAUUAGUCUAACAUCAAUCUUUCCUUCAGGUACCAACCGAACGGCUGCUCUUCCAUCUGGGAUCCGAGCGUAACAGACUUCAGCUUGGUGUCGUCAUUGCAUAUCAACGUCGAAAUAUAUUACGAAAAGCUUCAAGGAUACGCUUAAGCAUUUAGAUUAAAAGAAAGGUUCAAUUACGAGAAAAUUGUUUGAAAUUCUAACGACUCAACAUUUUAUCUUGGCUCCACCUUUUGCUCGUAAUAAUAGCAAUAAGCUUAUUUUACUAAUUUUUAGCACCUUACAUUUUAGUCCAUCUCUGACGGAGCGCUGCCACAUCACUGAAAAUCGUUUCCAAAAGCUGAAGAGUGAGCUUUUUCAAAUUGAAAAAUGCCUCAAAGCAAACCUGAAUUGUAAAGCACAGCAUACUUUUGGAGUUAAAAAAAACCUAGAUGCCUUCCACUAAUGCAAGAUCUCGUAGAAAGAACACUUUGGGGAAUGUCCGACAAGAUAAGAUCCCAGGCUCUUCGGCUCUGGCGUUCGGCUAUCGUCGCGUCGUCAUGAGCUCGCCAUUAUGCCCAUUCAUACGCCGCCGAAUCAAACGAUGGGCUACAGUUUCCAAAAGCAUAAGUGAAUUGGUAUACAAUCAAAUCUUCGCAAGGCUAUAUCUCAGACAUAUAGGACCAGAUCGGUGGCGAACCUACUCUCCCAGGAUCGUGAGGAUCCAGACUGUCGAUCGGCAUAAAAAUCUAGACCUUGAAAAUGAGGCCGAUUUUUGGCAAUUUUAAUGAUGUAACCAUCAUGAUGUCCUUUUUUCCGAUGACAGUCGAUUGGCAGGACUCGACCCAUCCCGAAAAGACAUGCCGCACGCCGAUCGGCCGCUGUAUUGCAGAGAUAUAGCGUGCAGAAGAGACCAGUAUUUCAAAGAUACGCAAAUCCAACUCUUCGCAAGGCUAUAUUUCAGGCAAAUAGGGCCAGAUCGGGGGAGGACCUACUCUCCCAGGAUCGGGAGGAUCCAGACUGUCGAUCGGCAU